CGACCCGGGAUAUAAUGGACGACCCGGUAGCAUUUAAGAUAGCUACCUGCCAAUUGGAUAUAUGCCUAACCAGGCAAGAGUCCCUGAUAGCCCACUAUGUCAUCGUCUCAGAUUGUGAAGUUCUGACCUCAGUGACCAUAACACCCAUCGCCUUCCUCCUCAAUUCAUCGAUUUUGAACUACAAUUUGUCAAUUACCCAGCCGCCCAGACGAUUGUACGGUUCCCUUCGUCGCCGACGACCGUAGGUCGAACAAUCUGUGUCGUUGUUGUCAGGAAAGCUCGAUUCUCACACAGUUCUUCAUGGCUAGGGAAGAGGACGGCCCUCUGGAUCAGGUACACAUAUUUCACCAUUCACCAUCGUUCAUAUCUUUGUUAUUGUUCUGGAUGUGUAGCCAUUUUGGAGAAUUGAAAUCGAUUAGUGUGAUUACAAGCGGAGAUGCGAUGUGGAUUUAAAUUGGGUAUUCAUAACGGGAUCUGAAAAUAAACAUCCUGUGUUUGUCCUGAGAUUGAGUUUGAAUCGCAUUAUACGUGUUGAGCACCAAAUGAAUGCUGCUGUUAGGACCCCGUUCCUAAAUUGAACUGAACCAAUUAGUGUUACAAUGGUUCCAGAUCAUUGAUUACAUUGUUGUUUACUAGCUGUGGUUGUUGUUUUUUGUUGAGUUUCGAAGAGUAUAGAGUUGGGUUUGCACAGCAUGUUAUCAAUUUUCUUCUGGUAAAAUGUGUUAGUAAAAACACGUUAUGAUGCAUCUAUGCUUCAACGACGGGCAACUGUAUGUGUAUUGGUUCAUCAGGGUGACCGUAGGCGUGAUGAUAUAACAACCUUGUUGAUUUUGCUAGAGGAAAUAAUACGCAAUCAUCAGAUAAACUUGUUGCUUAUAUCCCUCAUAAUCACGCUUAUUGGGCCCCAAACCCACAAGCGCAAACGAUGGGACAGACUUGGCCCAACACAGAUGCUCGAUUCAAUUCCUGCUCGUGUGAAGUAGUUGGAUAGGCAUGUGCGUGUCACGGAUAGGUCAUCUGUGGAUAAUUUAAGGAUGGACAGAAACACAUUCGGGCGUCUAUGUCGUCUACUCCGUGAUCCUGUAGGAUUAAUUAACAAAAAAUUUGUGAUAGUAGAAGAACAAGUUGCCAUGUUCUUAUGUGUUUUAUCAUACCAUAAGAAAGCUCGUAUUGUUGGGUAUGAUUUCAUGCCAUCCUCCCAAACUGUAUCAAGAUACAUACACACUGUGCUCCGUGGUGUGCUCACGCUUCACAGUCUGUUUUGGUGAAGCCCAAACCUAUAGACGAUCUGUGUUCGAACCGGCGUUGGAAUUGAUUUAAGAGCUGUCUAGGAGCCUUAGAUAGAACGUAUAUCAAUGUACGAGUGCCUAUUACGGACGCCCCACGAUAUCGGAAUCGGAAAGGUCACAUCACCAUAAACACAUUAGCUGUUUGUGACCCACAACUUCGAUUCAUUUACGUCCUUCCUGGUUGGGAAGGUUCUGGGGAGAUUCAAGGAUUUUACGCGAUGCAAUAAGUAGCCCGCUCGGUCUCAAAGUGCCUAAAGGUUAGUGUGUUGUUCAGUAACAUAGUAGUUACUAGUCUAAUGAAUCAGAAACCAUGUAAAUGUUCAAUUGGUAUAUCCUUUAGUCAGGUUGCUACUACCUUUAUGAUAAUGCAUAUGCAAAUGCUAAAGGCUUUGUGACUCCAUAUAAAGGAGUUCGUUAUCAUCUGAAGGAAUGAUGCCCUGGUAGGCAAGCCCCUCAGUCACCGAAAGAGUUGUUCAACUUAAGAUACACUAAGGCGCGAAAUGUCAUUGAACGAUCGUUUGCCAUUUUGAAGAUGCGGUGGGGUAUUCUUAGAUCUGCAAGUUUAUACCCGAUUGAUGUGCAAACCGACCUUAUAAUCGCCUGUUUCAUGUUACACAAUUUCAUACGAGCUCAAAUGGUGGUUGAUCCGGUUGAGGCGGAAUUGGAUAAUCAAGUAGACGAUGACGAUGACAGUGAGAACGAACAUGAGGACGAUGAUCAUAUCAGUAUUUUCGAACCUUCAGCAUCAUGGAACAAUAAAAUAGAUGAUCUUGCAAGAGCUAUGUGGGCCGAGAGAAACAAUCGAUAAACGGGGACGAUCAUGAGGUAAUUGUAUGAGUUCUAUUUGGUCUAUGUUAAGACAUAUUGGUUUUUUCCUUUUUAUGUUUCAAAUUAUGCAUUAUGGAGCAUGUAGCAACUUAGUUAUUCUUUGAUUUUUUAUGUUGAGUGAUCUAUUUGAACCUCA
Molecule: RNA transcript, 2253 nt
Organism: Salvia splendens (bonfire salvia)
Lineage: Eukaryota; Viridiplantae; Streptophyta; Magnoliopsida; Lamiales; Lamiaceae
Exons: 3
Source: RefSeq, a predicted model, not a curated record